Molecule: unclassified non-coding RNA, 236 nt
Filed under: plant metagenome
Description: partial contains small subunit ribosomal RNA, internal transcribed spacer 1, and 5.8S ribosomal RNA
Source: RNAcentral
GUUUCCGUAGGUGAACCUGCGGAAGGAUCAUUAAAGUUAUAGUCCCCCGGCCCCUCCGGGCUGGGGUCUUCUAUACCACCCUUUGUUUAUUACACUUUUGUUGCUUUGGCAGUCCUGCCCUCGGGCUGCUGGCUCCGGCCGGCUCGUGCCUGCCAGAGGACCUAAACUCUGUUUGUAUAUGAAGUCUGAGUACUAUAUAAUAGUUAAAACUUUCAACAACGGAUCUCUUGGUUCUG